GUCGAACGAGAACGGGUUAUAGCUUGCUAUAAUUGUCAGCUAAGUGGCGCACGGGUGAGUAAUGUAUAGGUAAUAUGCCUUUUACUAAGGGAUAACAGAUGGAAACGUUUGCUAAUACCUUAUACUCCGUUUAUGUAUAAAUGUAAAUGGGAAAGAUCUAUCGGUAAGAGAUUGGCCUGUAUUGUAUCAGUUAGUUGGUGGGGUAAUGGCCUACCAAGACAAUGACGCAUAACUGGUUUGAGAGGAUGAUCAGUCACACUGGAACUGAGACACGGUCCAGACUCCUACGGGAGGCAGCAGUGGGGAAUAUUGCACAAUGGACGGAAGUCUGAUGCAGCAACGCCGCGUGGAGGAUGACACAUUUCGGUGCGUAAACUCCUUUUAUAUAAGAAGAUAAUGACGGUAAUAUAUGAAUAAGCACCGGCUAACUCC
RNAcentral lists this ribosomal RNA (432 nucleotides) under uncultured Campylobacterales bacterium. Its description in RNAcentral is "bacterial SSU rRNA". It matches the Rfam family "Bacterial small subunit ribosomal RNA", at positions 61 to 504 of the family's 1533-position model. Lineage: Bacteria; Pseudomonadati; Campylobacterota; Epsilonproteobacteria; Campylobacterales. The record is from RNAcentral.